RNAcentral lists this ribosomal RNA (364 nucleotides) under Lepiota brunneolilacea. Its description in RNAcentral is "SSU rRNA". It matches the Rfam family "Bacterial small subunit ribosomal RNA", at positions 407 to 777 of the family's 1533-position model. Lineage: Eukaryota; Fungi; Basidiomycota; Agaricomycetes; Agaricales; Agaricaceae. The record is from RNAcentral.
UCUUAAAAUCAUUGUAUUGAUGGUUCUUGAGAUAACGUAAGGGAUAAAAAUGAUAUUACCUUACUAUAAGUGUUGUCCAACAUUACUGGUGCCAGAAGACUCGGUAACGCCAGAAACGCAAACGUUAGUCGUCCUAAACAGGCGUAAAGGGUAAGUAGGCUGCUUUGAAAGUUUUUAAUUAGAAAGCUCUUAAAAAAAAUUAAAGUAAUUAAUAAUGAAUUAAAGCUAGAAUCAAAUAGGGGAUAAGCCAAAUAAUAUUUAGUGUAAGGCUAAUAUCUUUAGAUACUAAAUGGAAUACUAAGGUGAAAACUUUUAUCUACUAAUGAUUGACGCUGAGGAACGAAGGUGAGAAUAGAAAACAGGA